Molecule: non-coding RNA, 1330 nt
Organism: Hydra vulgaris (swiftwater hydra)
Lineage: Eukaryota; Metazoa; Cnidaria; Hydrozoa; Anthoathecata; Hydridae
Source: RefSeq, a predicted model, not a curated record
UUUAUUGAGCAUAUCUUCUAUUUUUUAGAAGGAAGAUAGAGUGCUGUGAAUUGGUAAACGUGUAAAGCAAGUUUUAUCAACCUAGCCAGCCAAGUCACUUACUGCAAAGGGUUACAAAGCAGUGUUUCGUGUCAAACUGUUACUGCUUUAGAUUCACUAAAAGCCUACAACUAUUAAUUUUGGUAAAUCACAUCAGCUUUAUUAGGUACAAAGAUUUCUUUUUUUUGUAUGUAAUUUUUGUCUUAUUUACUUAUUUGUUACAUUUUUUAUUUAUCAAAUGAUGUAUUUAUGUAGUAUAGAAGAACUAAAUUUGUUAAGUUUUGUGAAUUUUUAAAAAAUUUUUACUAAUAUUUUUUCAUUUCCUAUGUAAUGUUUUAAAAAUUAUUCUUUGUGUGUGUGCAAUUUAGAGAAGUAAAAAAAAAAAAUCACAAACUUCAAGAUUCUUUCCAGAUUUUUUGUUACUACUAUCAAUUAAAAGUGAAGUUUAAAUGGAUGAUAUUAGGCUAGAAGUGGCUAUUAGUUUAGAAAAUGAUGAAAAUGUUAAUAAGCAAGUUGAAAAUAAUCGUCGCAGAAAUGCAAAAUUGGCUGAGGCGAGAUGAAAUUAAUAAUCAACAAAAUGCCAGAUAUGCUGCAUGGCAAGCUGCAAAUAAUUUGAAUUAAAAUGAGGACAGUGUGAUUAGGAAAGUUGAAAAUAUUCGUCACAGAAUUGCAAGAAAUAGGCUGAGGCAGGAUGAAAUUAAUAAUCAACCAAAUGCUAUCCUGCUCGGCAAGCAGCAAAUACUUUGAACUGAAAUAGGGAGAAAAAAGGGCAUGAUAGACGUCACUAUAAUUUCUCUUCACAUAAUGAAGUUGCAGUUGUAUUUUUGGUAAAGAUGGUGCUCCACCUACUUCCAGUAAAGUUGUUAUUUUCCCAAGAGGUCAUCCUCUUAAAAUAUAUCAAUUAUGUCUGCUAAAUUUUAGAGCCUAUGGUUUGUUCUCCAUUUUUUCUAAGGGUUGAUGCUGGUUGGCAUAAUCAAUUGGUUCACAACCCUGAACGUGCUACAAUCAAAUUGGUUCACAACCCUGAACAUUGAUUAGAAAUCAUGUUACAUUAUCUCAGUAUUAUAGUUAUAGACUUUUAGUUGGACAAUUAACCUAAACAAAAAAAUAGGUGAAGUGAUUUUUAGUAACUUCAGAUCACUUUGUUGUUAUUUUUUUAUUACUAUAAGAAUGGUUAAUAAUAAAAGUUUUUUUGGCAGUAGAACUGGUACUGAUUUUAGUAAGUUUGCUAUAUUUUUUUAUUUAAGAUUUUUAUUAGAUUUAAUAGGUUUAUAGGUUUUUUUUAAUUACU